This 515-nucleotide ribosomal RNA is filed under the name Pseudomonas sp. MFAE8b. RNAcentral describes it as "bacterial SSU rRNA". It matches the Rfam family "Bacterial small subunit ribosomal RNA", at positions 807 to 1324 of the family's 1533-position model. The record is from RNAcentral. Lineage: Bacteria; Pseudomonadati; Pseudomonadota; Gammaproteobacteria; Pseudomonadales; Pseudomonadaceae.
CGAUGCCAACUAUGCGUUGGGAGUCUUGAACUCUUGUGGCGCAGCUAACGCAUUAAGUUGACCGCCUGGAUAGUACGACGCAUCCCCAAAACUCCUCUGAAUUGACGGGGGCCCGUCCUUCGGUGCACCCUGUGGUUUAAUUCGAACCAACGCGAAGAACCUUACCUCGCCUUGACAUUUAAUGAACUUUCUCAAGAUGGAUGGUGGCCUUCGGGAACAUUGAGACAGGUGCUGCAUGGCUGUCGUCCCCUCCUGCCCUGAAAAGUUGAUUGAAUGCCCGGAACGGGUGCAGCCCUUGUCCUUAGUUCCCAUUACGCCACGGGGGCCACCCCAUGGGCACUGCCGCGGACAUACCGUUGAAAGGUGGGGAUGACGUCGUACUCUCCUGGCCCUUACCUUCUGGCGUUAACUGCUGCUACAAUGGUUCAAGACUACGGUUGCCUAGCCGAGAGGUGUUACUAAUCGCACUACACCGAUAUCAAACCGUGUCUGCUCCUGCAACUCUACUGCGUGAA